This 535-nucleotide ribosomal RNA is filed under the name Enterobacter sp. Its description in RNAcentral is "bacterial SSU rRNA". It matches the Rfam family "Bacterial small subunit ribosomal RNA", at positions 37 to 555 of the family's 1533-position model. The record is from RNAcentral. Lineage: Bacteria; Pseudomonadati; Pseudomonadota; Gammaproteobacteria; Enterobacterales; Enterobacteriaceae.
UGGGCGGCAGCCUACACAUGCAAGUCGAACGGUAACAGGAAGCAGCUUGCUGCUUUGCUGACGAGUGGCGGACGGGUGAGUAAUGUCUGGGAAACUGCCUGAUGGAGGGGGAUAACUACUGGAAACGGUAGCUAAUACCGCAUAACGUCGCAAGACCAAAGAGGGGGACCUUCGGGCCUCUUGCCAUCAGAUGUGCCCAGAUGGGAUUAGCUAGUAGGUGGGGUAACGGCUCACCUAGGCGACGAUCCCUAGCUGGUCUGAGAGGAUGACCAGCCACACUGGAACUGAGACACGGUCCAGACUCCUACGGGAGGCAGCAGUGGGGAAUAUUGCACAAUGGGCGCAAGCCUGAUGCAGCCAUGCCGCGUGUAUGAAGAAAGGCCUUCGGGUUUGUAAAGUACUUUCAGCGGGGGGAGGAAGGCGAUGCUGUUUAAUAACCGCGUCGAUUUGACGUUACCCCGCAGAAAGAGCAACGGGCUUAACUCGUGCCAGCAGCCGCGGUAAUACGGAGGGUGGCAAGCGUACCGGAAUUACU